This 69-nucleotide transfer RNA is filed under the name Marmota monax (woodchuck). It matches the Rfam family "tRNA". Rfam says of the family: Transfer RNA (tRNA) molecules are approximately 80 nucleotides in length. Their secondary structure includes four short double-helical elements and three loops (D, anti-codon, and T loops). Further hydrogen bonds mediate the characteristic L-shaped molecular structure. tRNAs have two regions of fundamental functional importance: the anti-codon, which is responsible for specific mRNA codon recognition, and the 3' end, to which the tRNAs corresponding amino acid is attached (by aminoacyl-tRNA synthetases). tRNAs cope with the degeneracy of the genetic code in two manners: having more than one tRNA (with a specific anti-codon) for a particular amino acid; and 'wobble' base-pairing, i.e. permitting non-standard base-pairing at the 3rd anti-codon position. RNAcentral also lists the same sequence under 1 other name. The record is from Rfam by way of RNAcentral. Lineage: Eukaryota; Metazoa; Chordata; Mammalia; Rodentia; Sciuridae.
GGGGUUGUGGCUCAGUGGCAGAGCACUUGCCUAGUGUGCAUGAGGCACUGGGUUUGAUCCCCAGCACCA